CCUCGGCCCAAUCCAAUCGCCCGCACUCUACAACCCUCCCUCUCUCCUCGAUCUCUCUCCCUCAGGCGCCACAAACCCUAGGUCCCUUUCCUACGAUCCCGUGGUCGCUGCCCCUGCUCCAUCCGACCUCCGUGGCGACCGAGGGCCCGAUCCGCGCCAACGCCGUGCGGGCGGCGGCCGGGGCGGGCGCGGAGAGGGCCGAUGCGGCGGCCGCGGGCGGGGCGGUGGCGGCCAAGGCCAGGGAGGACGAGGUCAGGGAGUACAAGAGUGACGUGCUGAACCCCUCCGCGGAGGAGUUCGUGCCGCUCUCCCGCCGCCAGGGGGCGGCGCACGCCGCCUGUCGGCCGACGCGCCCGUCUUCGUCUCGCCCGACUACUAUGCUGCUCCGUCCACCGACUCUGUCCGUGCAGGUGGCCAGUUUCCUUCCGCCCCAACCUUUUCCACUGUCUCCCUAGUUCAUCCUCCGUCCCUUGUUGCCCGAGAUUCUCAUCUUUUCAGGCAGCGAGGAAGCCACGUGAGGAGAGACCUCGUCUCGAGAAUCCCGGGAGGAGGGGCUCAACCAGAGAGGAGCAGAUGCCAGCCAGGUAGUCGGCUCGGCUCGACGCCGUCUUUCGUGUCUGGGCCGCGGCAGACCCUAGCGCCGUCCUUCAGGUGUCUUCACGGCUGCAGGAGUGUAUGUUCGAGGAUGUAAAUCCAUCUGAUAUGUUGUUGACAGGGAUUAAGAUUAUUGUAUUGACAUAUCUGAGAGUAUUGUACUGACAUAUCUGAGAAUUUAAUGAUCUAUUAGCAACUAGGUGUUAAGCUUCAGGCUGAUGUAUUGGUUGAGAUCGAGGAGAGAGUGAGCCGUUGCAGAGGAGAGGGUGGGCGGAGGUCAGGCAUUGCUAACAGAUUUGAGGAGGAGUGGGAAAGGUGAAGGUGAUGCCGGCCGGCUGGCGCCUCACCACUGGCUCCUGUUUUGCAGCGGCAAAGAGAACGGUGUUGAGGAUGUGUUGCUCUAUGCACGGCUGUCAGAAGUACAUCCUUGCUAUAAUGUAUUUUUCUGUGGCUUUCUCCAUUAGAAUAUUUCUCCUCAACGACCAUAUCAACCUGUCUGGUGUUUGCACAUGUCAUUUUGGUUGAGGUGUGUGCAAGAUCAUCCCUCUCUAAACUAUAAAUUUGUCUGUAUGUUUUGGUAGAUUUGAUUUAUGGGCGGCAAAGGCAGGCUGGCUGUACUACAAGGCGGGGUGCCAUUGUUAUUUUGGUUUUGGCUCAUGAACUUCAAAUCAGUUCUCCUAUGAAAGAAAAUCAAUCUGUGUAUGCAUGAUACUUGUUAAUACUUUAACUGCAGUUUAGGAUACAAAUGUGAUUACAUUAAUCAUUUGUUAAACAGGUUACCGCCAUUCCACCUCUUCCUCGUGAUGGUAUAGGAGUACAUACUAAUUCGAUAAACAAGAGGCAAAGUUGCCAACGCCUGAGAUAGUGGUUCCUACCUCUGGCCUUCGCACCUUUAGUUCCACAAGUAGUUAAGCAACUCAAAUGGUAAGAACUUCAGGGUUCUUUUUUCUCUUUCUUUCUUUCUUUCUUUCUUUCUUUUCUCUUGGGACUGUUUAUUCUCUGUUUGUAUAUAUUUCCUUUGAUUGAAAUAAAGGAUUGUGUGGCCUUUGCUCCACAUAAGGUAGUCAAAAGAAAGUACUUCCUCUAAUCCAUAUUAGUUGUCGCUGAUUUAGUAGUGUACUAAAUCAAUGACAAUUAAUAUGGAUCAGAGGAGGUAACAUGUAUUUUGUUAAAACUGCUUUAAGUAACUAGGGCCAAGUAACAUACUAUGUGAUUGUUGUGUGUGGUCGUGGCAUGUGAAUCUGAUUAAACCAUCAUAGUUGGAUAAUAGCAGUCUUGGGGAGGAAUACGAUGUGUGUUUCAGAUAUUUAAGAGCGGUUUGAUUAUGUUUCAAUUUCGAAGACAUGGUCGUGGCAUGUGAAUCUGAUUAGACCAUCAUAGUUGGAUAAUAGCAGUCUUGGGGAGGAAUACGAUGUGUGUUUCAGAUAUUUAAGAGCGGUUUGAUUAUGUUUCAAUUUCGAAGACAUGGUUUCGUGUUAUGCCUUAUAAGGUUGAGGCAUGUGCUAUAGAGGCAAGGAAGAUUACUUUGAUUUUGUUGAUUAUUAGGGUUUUUGAUAAUGCAACUUCUUUUGGAAUCUGUUAUUAGUGUUUUAUAUAUUGUUCCCCCAAACGUCCUUUUUUGUUUAGUUAUGUAUUGGCAACCGUUUCCUUCUUCCAUUGUAGUAAGUAGAAGUUAUAUAUUUUCCUGUCCAUGCCCUUCUUUUCCUAGGCCAGCAAUUUGCUUUCUCCUUGGUUUACAGUGGCUGCAGCCUCCUAUUUGUGACGUCGUAGCCCCAAAGGUAUCCUUCUCUCUAUACUGAAUCUGAUUCUUUGCAUUUUGGGUUUGGAUAUGUUUGCUAUUGCCAGCUCUAUUUGCACUUAAUCAAUAUAUGUGCGUGCACUUGUAGAAGUGAAAGAGAAAUUUGGAGGGCGAUAAAGGAAUAUACAUAAGGUCCUGAGGAAAAUGAUACUUGUACAUGGUUUGGAUUACUCGUGUUUUUUUAUUUUGACUGCAAAUAACUUCUCUUUUCAACACACUUAGUACGUGAUCUAGCAAUCACAUUAUAAUAGAGUAAGUGAGAAAAAGCUCUUUAUUUGAAUGACCAAGAAUCCGUGGUGUUCUCCUGAACUGCAAGGAACACUCCACUACGAAACUCACUUAAGCAGGUUGAUAGAUGAUACCUUGUCUUGAGCCUAUUUUCUCAAAAUAAUGAGAGGCUGAAUGAUUCAGACACAGGAUGAACUUUCUCACCUCAUCAUUUCAUUACAUUUUGAUUUCAUUGUGUGGUGUGCUUCGAUCUAGGUGAGUUGAGUUGCUGCUUGGUUGGAGAUGUUGAUGUCGUUCGAGACGCCCGCUGGAUUCACCCUUUUCAAGGUUCUGAAUAAGGGCUUGUCGAGCUGAGUGUUCGUCACCACCUUAGCUCUUGGUUUGGUUUGGAUUACUCAUGUUUUUUAUUUUGACUGCAAAAUAACUUCUCUUUUCAACACACUUAGUACGUGAUCUAGCAAUCACAUUAUAAUAGAGUAAGUGAGAAAAAGCUCUUUAUUUGAAUGAUCAAGAAUCCGUGGUGUGCUCCUGAACUGCAAGGAACACUCCACUACGAAACUCACUUAAGCAGGCUGAUAGAUGAUGUCUUGUCUUUGGUGAGCCUAUUUUCUCAAAAUAAUGAGAGGCUGAAUGAUUCAGACACAGGCUGAACCAUCUUUCUCACUUCAUCAUUUUGUUACAUUUGAUUACUGAUUCAUCAAGGAGUUGUUGUUCUGCGUUCACUUAUUUCCCCAAACUAUAUGUACGCAUCGCUCGCAAAAGAAAUCGAUUUAAAUCCUCUCCGAAAAAAUUUGGACUGUUGUAAGUUGAAAAAAUGCAUGUGUUCUGUAAGCACUUGAAUUGAAGGGCAAAAUGAAAAUGCAUGUGUUGGUAUGCUGUUGCUGGCCCAUAUAUCCCAAGACAGGGUAUACAGAUAGCUUUUGACCUUGCCAGAGCGUAAGUAGUUCAUUUGGUUAAUCUGUUUUGCGUUUUGACAUGCAUCAUUUGUUGCAGACUGCUAGAUCGAUGCUACUUCCAUUAUUAUUAUUUUUUAUUGCCUAAGCACCGAACAAGCACUCUUGCAUUGGAGGUGCCCUGAAUGGCUUCUACAGAUUUGUCCCAAUGCAAUUAGCAGGCUAGCAUAUUUGAAAAAUGAAAUUUUGAAUGACAUAUAGCAGGAUAUGCAUCUAUUCCUACUCCUAUCUUAUAUGGACAAAUAGAUCUAACAGCUGGCUUGCUUGCUUGCAGUGGUACAGGUGUGAUCUUCAUGGAGCUAGCCAUCAUUGGAUUUGGUAAUACAUAAUCACUUAUUCAGAGAGCCCAAGGUGAGAAGGGAUGAGCAUCUAGAACACCACCACCUACUAAUCAGUGAGCUACUAUCUGUAUUUCAAUGAGUUACUUAACAAGAGAAGGCAGGUAGCAAUAGAACACGUGCAAUUUCAAUGUUUACUAAUUAUCUAUUUCUGAAUUUAUUCGUUCCCAGCUGCUCUGAAUCUGGGUGUUUUGCUUGCUGCUUUGUAGGAGUUUCCUACCUUUCUUCUGCAAAUAUGGAAUGCCUUUAUGGCAUGAUCAUGUGAAAAAAGUACCUUGAUGCAGUAAUGGAUUUGAUUAUCACUGGUUACUCUGUUUUCACGAAUUACUAUCCAACUGUAAGUCUGUUCUAUACCCUAAGGCCCAUGUAAAUCUAAUAGAAGAUUAAGCUAUUUAAUUUUAACUAAAAAGGAUAAUAUUCUUUCAGUCGGUUGAAUCUGUCCAGACCUGAAAAAUACUUAUACUUUGAAAGCUUGAUAUAUGAGUAUGUAAUUUUACAGGUAUGUAGAUAGCCGACAAUGUUAUUGUUCAAAUGUACUCGAGCCAGGUUUUCGGUGUUUCAUUGCAACCAAAAGAAUUGGUAAUAUUGUUUUGAUGAAAACAUGGUCGCACUUGUCGGUGUUGUAGUGGCAUAGGAAUUUUCCCCCUAAGAUCCACUAUGAAGUUGAUUAAAAAGUCCAUUUUCCCUAAGAUCCACUAUGACAAUGAAAAAGAUUUCUGAAAACUGUGUCACCAUAAAUGUUCCAUCAUUGUCCAUAGUAGUCCCAUGCCAUAUUAAUUUCAGAAGAAUAAUUUCUUAUUCAGAUGUUCAUUGUGUUUUUAUGUACUGCUAUAUCUAAAAAAGCAAGUUUCAGCUAAAACCAGAGCCGUGGUUAAGAUACUCUUCGCACCUAGGAUAUGUGUAUAUGUUCAGAUUUCUAACUUUAAACUAUAGUUUUAGAAAAUGUGGUGCCCUCGCUUAUUUUUCUAAUGCAUGAACUGGGUAUGUUUUAUGUGUAAUGCGUGCUUGAUUUCUUUUUGGUUCUGGUGGAUUUUGAUUUUGUCCACCAUGCUUCUCUCCAAAGAGAUGAGUCUGUUUUCGCAGCAGCGGGUGAUGCAUGUGCUUAUUGUUGGCUGUUGCUAUGUGGUAUGCAUUUUCUCAUUGUUACUGUUUGUUGUUUGCUAUGAUUAAUAUACAUUGGCAUGUACAUUUUAUAUCAGUUUUGUUUUCAACACCACCUAUCACUGUAUAAUUUGUCGUUAAUAGAGUAGUUUCUCCUUUAUUGCAUUGCAUAAUGCUAGCAAGCUACAUUGCACCAUAAACAAAAAUAAUCCUCUUCCAAGGUUAAACCUGUUUUUUCCUUCUAGCAAAGAUCUCUGGAAAAGAUCAAUUCCGUUAGCCUAUAAUAUUGCAGUUCUUUCGUAUCCUUCAAAGAUUUAUAAAUAUUUUCUGUUUCCACUCCAUUCGUUCUCAUGGAUUCUGAAAAAAAUAUUUUUGUUUUUUGUUGAUUAAUAAUAUUGCUCUCCCUUCCAGUUUUGAGGUGGUCGAUGCAUGUAGAAUAUACAGACUUUCCUAGAAUGGUGCCUUUUAGUUUUUCUGCUUGAUGUUAGUUCAUUGAUGAGAACACCUAUGUACAUGAUUGCUGCAUGCAUGAUAUCCUAGUAUAUACUGAGAAAUAUUUUUGUUUUCCGGACAUUGUUUUCUAAAUCCUAUCAACAUAUUACCUGAUAUGGUCUUUGAAGUUUCUAUUUUAUAGCGACUCUCUGCACUGGUCAACUUGAGUAUGGUAUGGUUAUCUUUCCUUUUGUUUACAAGAGAUGUGUGGUAGAAGCUGUACUCACAGGAAGACUAUCAUGCUGUGUAUAAACCACGUUCUACGAUUCACUUCUGUCAUGCAUAUUUACUUUCCAGUUUUAGGACUGAAAUCCAUCCAUUGUAAUGAAUUUGGUUGUAUGGGCAUUACCUAUUUGACUUAGGCUUGCUUCAUCACAUAUAGACUGCCUUUUCUUUUCCCCGUUGCUUGUAUGACCUAAAACUAUCAUGUAUAUGAGGCAAGUUUUUAGCAAUGUUUCACAUUUUCUUACUUGCAAUACUGUGCUUGCCUAUUCAGGUGUUCCAAGACCCAAAUCAUCAGAAAAACAACACAUACAACACUUUUUUCUUUUGAACUUUGGUUACCCUUAUACAAGCCCCUGUUCAUUUUGUUUAUAUAGUGGUUAGAAUAGUAACCAUAUGUGCUUGCUCAAUACUGAUAGAUGGAAUAUUUUCAAAGCAUGUAUGGUGUGGGUCUGCAAUUUGGCGCAAUGGGAGAUUAUUGAAAAAUACACAUUUUUUCAACAUGACAUGGUCUUGAAAUGGGAGUCUACUAUCAAAUUAAAAUAUGUAGGUACAUCUCAUUGUAGACGACAAGUAUCUAUUUUUUUAUUAAAGGGGGUUAAAUUUGUUAUCAUA
Long non-coding RNA from Triticum aestivum (bread wheat), 6341 nucleotides. RefSeq lists it as uncharacterized. The transcript is spliced from 4 exons. The record is from RefSeq and is a predicted model, not a curated record. Lineage: Eukaryota; Viridiplantae; Streptophyta; Magnoliopsida; Poales; Poaceae.